AACGAACGCUGGCGGCGUGGUUUAGGCAUGCAAGUCGAGCGAGAAAGUCCUUGGACGAGUACAGCGGCGAAAGGGUGAGUAAUAUAUAGGUAACCUACCUCUUGGACUCGGAUAAUUCCUGGAAACGGGUUGUAAUACGAGAUCGUCCUAUUGGGUCGCAUGGCCCGACUGGUAAAUGGUAGCUCUGCUUCUGCCGAGAGAGGGGCCUAUAUCCUAUUAGCUAGUUGGUGAGGUAAUGGCUCACCAAGGCUUUGAUGGGUAGGCCGGACUGAGAGGUUGGCCGGUCACACUGGGACUGAGACACUGCCCAGACUCCUACGGGAGGCUGCAGUCGAGAAUCUUCCGCAAUGGGCGAAAGCCUGACGGGGCGACGCCGCGUGAACGAAGAAGGCC
RNAcentral lists this ribosomal RNA (393 nucleotides) under uncultured bacterium. RNAcentral describes it as "bacterial SSU rRNA". It matches the Rfam family "Bacterial small subunit ribosomal RNA", at positions 29 to 416 of the family's 1533-position model. The record is from RNAcentral.